RNAcentral lists this ribosomal RNA (253 nucleotides) under uncultured bacterium. RNAcentral's name for it is "partial 16S ribosomal RNA". It matches the Rfam family "Bacterial small subunit ribosomal RNA", at positions 524 to 776 of the family's 1533-position model. The record is from RNAcentral.
UACAGAGGUCUCAAGCGUUGUUCGGAUUCAUUGGGCGUAAAGGGUGCGUAGGCGGCGCGGUAAGUCGGGUGUGAAAUCUCGAGGCUUAACUUCGAAACUGCAUUCGAUACUGCCGUGCUUGAGGACUGGAGAGGAGACUGGAAUUUACGGUGUAGCGGUGAAAUGCGUAGAUAUCGUAAGGAAGACCAGUGGCGAAGGCGGGUCUCUGGACAGUUCCUGACGCUGAGGCACGAAGGCCAGGGGAGCAAACGGG